RNAcentral lists this long non-coding RNA (1504 nucleotides) under Lathyrus oleraceus (garden pea). RNAcentral describes it as "Pisum sativum (pea) long non-coding RNA (PSAT_LNC035525)". Lineage: Eukaryota; Viridiplantae; Streptophyta; Magnoliopsida; Fabales; Fabaceae. The record is from RNAcentral.
AAAAAUGGAUGCAACAACAAUUAGAAAAAAUGAAAUCAGGAGGAUCAAACUUGCAAUAGUAAUUAAAAAAAAUUGAUGUAAUAGUAAUUAAAAAUAAUGAAUUCAAAAGGAUCAAACCCACAAUUUUUACUACCAUUAUUGACAAAUUCAUCUUUAUUUUUCCUUAGCUCAGGACCGUCUGCUUAAGAAAAUUACACAAGCAAGAAGAAUGAGGUUGUGACAUACUCUCCUUCACUAUUUAUAUAGCUCCUAAGGUAAGUGCAGGUUGAUCCCAAAUGACUAUGUAUGUAGAGUCUUUGCAGUAAAGUGAGAAAGCUUAAGAAGAUGACACAAACAAGAAGAAUGUAAGGGUAAUAUGAGUAAGUGUGCCACAUGAGCUAAUAUCAUAUGUCGUCAUGAAAUGUUUAUUUGUUAACUAUUUGAGAUAUGCUUAUUGGUAACAUUGACAACAUUGUUGGUAUGCUUCACUGUUAUUCAUGAAUGUAGUUGGAUUUUAUUCUAAUAUAUGUUUUGGUCAAUGAUCACUGUUUGAAAUUGUCUUAUAAGGUAAAUUAUUCUGAUGAGUUUAUGCAUGUUGAACUAGAUCACAACUACAUGACUUAUCAAAAAUAAAAAGAUCGCAACUAUAUGACUUUGACUCAAAGCAAUUCAUUAAAAUUUUGACUAGCUAAAUAUGUAUUUGAAGUAAAUAUAAGGUUUUGUUCUCUAACCAGAAAAAGGUAAACUAAUUUCAAACUAAUGAUCUAUACAUAAUGACCAAUUGAAUGAAUUUUAAUAUCUUGUUUUGAAGUGAAAAUAUCUUUGGCCUCCCAUUGAAAUUUUAUAAUGUCUUUGCCGUUGUUGUAUCAAAAGUUGUUUAUUUUCCCGGCAUGUUUUGAUUGAAAUUCUGUUUCACAAACCACCAUACUUUUAUAGACGUCCAAAAUGAGUGAAUAUUUGAUUUUAACUUGUGUAGAAAUUAAUGAGAAAGAAAGUGAAGCAAGCAGUGAAAUAAGAGCAUGGAGUAGACUGUCCUGAAGUAUUUGGCCCUGUUAGAAUGAUGAAAAUUAUAUCAACUAGACUGACUAUAUAUCAAAUCUGCUUUUUUGUAUGAUGAGUGGAAGUAUAUAAAAUCAUAAUUAAAGGAACUUCUUUCUUGGAAUUGAAGUGCUGAAAAGAAGAUUAUAGAUGUAUGCACGUAUGCUUAUUGGACAUGUUGAGAGCUUUGUUCGUGUGAUUGAGUUACUUGAAAAUCCGCAAAACAACCUAAAUUUAUGUUCAAUUUAGGUCAUGUGAGAUUUUUCAUCAAACCAGUACCAUUUUAAAAUAUUUUCCCCUUAAUUAAAGAGGAUGAUGUCACUUUUUUUAAAAUAAAAUAAGGAGUUUAUUUAAAAUUAAAAGGAAAACACAAACGGCCGGAACAAGGAGAAAGAAGAUGAAUUACAGAAUCAACUAUUAUUCUUGAUAUUUAAAUAUAACUUCAGUAUAUUAAAAAAUAUAAAUAAUAAAUUUGGUCUCUUAAAAU